RNAcentral lists this transfer RNA (83 nucleotides) under Candidatus Altarchaeales archaeon. RNAcentral describes it as "tRNA-Leu". It matches the Rfam family "tRNA". From Rfam's summary of the family: Transfer RNA (tRNA) molecules are approximately 80 nucleotides in length. The record is from RNAcentral. Lineage: Archaea; Nanobdellati; Candidatus Altarchaeota; Candidatus Altarchaeia; Candidatus Altarchaeales.
GCGGGGGUGCUGGAGUGGUCAAACAGGCAGGGCUUAGGACCCUGUGGCGAAGGCCUACGCGAGUUCGAACCUCGUCCCCCGCA